Non-coding RNA from Abiotrophia defectiva ATCC 49176, 90 nucleotides. It matches the Rfam family "Bacterial small signal recognition particle RNA". Rfam says of the family: The signal recognition particle (SRP) is a universally conserved ribonucleoprotein involved in the co-translational targeting of proteins to membranes. Archaeal SRP consists of a 7S RNA and homologues of the eukaryotic SRP19 and SRP54 proteins. Lineage: Bacteria; Bacillati; Bacillota; Bacilli; Lactobacillales; Aerococcaceae. The record is from Rfam.
AUAAGAGUAGGCAAUGGCGGCGUCAUGAAUCGAGUCAGGACCGGAAGGUAGCAGCUAUAAGUGACAAAGCCAUGUGCUUAUUUUUUUAUU